AGAGAGGUAGAGCAUCAAAGUUCAACAACUCUCAGCCUUAACAGCAAAACUAUGAAAUACUUAAUAGUUCUGAUGAUUCUGGGCGUGGUUGCGUCAACAAAUGCUAUGAAAUUACAGGAGUAUUUUAAGCAUUUCCUCAUAGUGGGUUGUUCCUCAGCCAAUUCCUCGACAGGCAACGCUUACGAAAUAAUAUGUGGGUCAUGUUUGCGCUACACUAUCGACGUCAUGAAAAUAGACCAAGGAUUGUGUAAAAAUCUUUAAGGCGUUUCUUCGACAGCCAAAGAUACCUGAAAAAAUUCCAAGUGGUUGAAUGUAAAACAGGUUCUCCAAAUUGAAAGAAUAUUCAAAAU
Molecule: long non-coding RNA, 350 nt
Organism: Argiope bruennichi
Lineage: Eukaryota; Metazoa; Arthropoda; Arachnida; Araneae; Araneidae
Exons: 3
Source: RefSeq, a predicted model, not a curated record